Long non-coding RNA from Cucurbita moschata (crookneck pumpkin), 167 nucleotides. RefSeq lists it as uncharacterized. The transcript is spliced from 2 exons. Lineage: Eukaryota; Viridiplantae; Streptophyta; Magnoliopsida; Cucurbitales; Cucurbitaceae. The record is from RefSeq and is a predicted model, not a curated record.
UAUGAAAUUGAUCGUGGUUGAUUGGUAUAGACUCGUUAGAGGACGAUUUACACUUUCAAGAAGGAUUCGUGAACCAAGAGGGACUAUAGAAGGAGAUUGAGCUUGGAAAUGUAAGGUUUGAUGAAGAAACCAAAAUCAAAAGUCUGCAAUGUGAGAAUUGAUGAUGG